GGGGUCAAUGGUAGAGCAUUUGUUUGGUAUGCAGAAGGUCCCAGAUUAAAUUCCUGGGUUCAGCC
Molecule: transfer RNA, 65 nt
Filed under: Sphaerodactylus townsendi
Lineage: Eukaryota; Metazoa; Chordata; Lepidosauria; Squamata; Sphaerodactylidae
Description: tRNA-Thr
Source: RNAcentral